Molecule: microRNA precursor, 146 nt
Filed under: Gossypium arboreum
Lineage: Eukaryota; Viridiplantae; Streptophyta; Magnoliopsida; Malvales; Malvaceae
Description: MIR7502 microRNA precursor family
Rfam family: MIR7502 microRNA precursor family
Source: Rfam by way of RNAcentral
UGUUAAAAAUUCCAUCUAUUUGUUUUGUUGAAAACUAGCAUGACUGAUGAAAUAAUCAAAUAGUGACACGUGGUCUGCCAUGUAUAUCUCAUGUUGACGUACAAUGACCAAUUUUUAACAGUAAAAAAUAAAUAGAAUUUUUAGAA